This 73-nucleotide transfer RNA is filed under the name Camelus bactrianus (Bactrian camel). It matches the Rfam family "tRNA". From Rfam's summary of the family: Transfer RNA (tRNA) molecules are approximately 80 nucleotides in length. RNAcentral also lists the same sequence under 2 other names. The record is from Rfam by way of RNAcentral. Lineage: Eukaryota; Metazoa; Chordata; Mammalia; Artiodactyla; Camelidae.
GAGGGUGCAGCUCAAGCAGUAGGGCGCAUGCUUGGCAUGCACAAGGUCCUGGGUUCAAACCCCAGUACCUCCU